Molecule: long non-coding RNA, 204 nt
Filed under: Hordeum vulgare
Lineage: Eukaryota; Viridiplantae; Streptophyta; Magnoliopsida; Poales; Poaceae
Description: long non-coding RNA (HVUL_LNC001954)
Source: RNAcentral
GUGGUGUGCUGAUUUGGCCGAGCUCUCGCCCAUUUGUAACGGAGUCUGGACAGUGCAGGACGGCUGGUGGUUUGUACUUUUAGAUGACAUGAAAGGACAGUGGAUAGAAGUGGUAGUAAACCAGUGAAUUUAUAUAUAUGAACAGUGUUCAGAGGUUACUCAAACUCCUCUCCUCACAUAUCAUACGCAGUGAGAAAGGAAAGG